Molecule: non-coding RNA, 74 nt
Organism: Comamonas sp. SCN 67-35
Lineage: Bacteria; Pseudomonadati; Pseudomonadota; Betaproteobacteria; Burkholderiales; Comamonadaceae
Source: Rfam
CGGAGCGUAGCGCAGUCUGGUAGCGCAUCUGGUUUGGGACCAGAGGGUCGUAGGUUCGAAUCCUAUCGCUCCGA